RNAcentral lists this long non-coding RNA (908 nucleotides) under Salmo salar (Atlantic salmon). Its description in RNAcentral is "lncRNA (ENSSSAG00000080920.2, ENSSSAG00020074933.1)". Lineage: Eukaryota; Metazoa; Chordata; Actinopteri; Salmoniformes; Salmonidae. The record is from RNAcentral.
CAACGUAAUUCUUGUACGUUUCCUUAAUUUAUGACGCUUGUACACUAUAUCAAAUAAUUAAUCUAGCUGUCUUUGCUUUUUAUACUCUGUUGCCAAACUUUGUAAUAAGCAUUUUCUCUCACCAGAACUGCAAGAUCACUGGACCGUAGACCGCAGUGCUGAAAUGAAGCAACAGCGGCUGUGAAAUGUGUCAUUUGGAGACUACAGGCUACUAACUGCAGUCAUUUUCUUGUAAAGACGAGACGACCUCAAACUUGAUAUGACACACACGUCUAAGAGAGGAUGAAGACAGAGGUGUCAGAGGAUGUCUGUCUUACUCUGCUCCCGUCUCGGCUGGCAGAUGGAGACCCUAGGUGAGUGGAUCACUGGCCAGAAUCCCGUCUGGACUGAAGGGGUCCCAGGACAUCCUCUACUUAGUCAGGUAGUCUUCAACUCACCCCCACUUAUCUCCCAUUCUCUAUCUAUUGACAGGUAAGUGCCGUCAUUCCCUCACAGCCCAAACAAUAGCUCUCUAGGCAGGGAUCCUGUAGUCAGGCUAAAGAGAACCCAACCAGGCAUCACAGACAGACAGGGGCUUGACAUUGGCAGGACAAACGGCUGCAGACAGACAGAGCUCUCUGUCCCCGCUCCCCAGCGAAGUAUAGUGAAUUUACCUCUUUACGCUGAUCCUGGGUCAGUUUUGCAUUUCCCCCACUAAUGGUUAAGAUCACGAUUGGGAGGGGGAAUCUGAUCCCAGAUCUGUACCUAGGGGAACCUCACCCCGGGGGCCCUCAGACGACUAGCCCUAUACACACCCUUGUUGUCUCUGAGUCACACCUCCAGGUGUGGACAGUUUAAUGGUCAGCAACAUGAAAAGCCCCAGUCUGACCAGCUCACCGACACUGAUCACCUCAGCAUGAAAACACACA